Molecule: ribosomal RNA, 156 nt
Filed under: Nicotiana attenuata
Lineage: Eukaryota; Viridiplantae; Streptophyta; Magnoliopsida; Solanales; Solanaceae
Description: rRNA 5_8S_rRNA
Rfam family: 5.8S ribosomal RNA
About the family: 5.8S ribosomal RNA (5.8S rRNA) is a component of the large subunit of the eukaryotic ribosome.
Source: RNAcentral
GACUCUCGGCAACGGAUAUCUCAUCUCUCACAUCGAUGAAGAACGUAGCGAAAUGCGAUACUUGGUGUGAAUUGCAGAAUCCCGUGAACCAUCGAGUCUUUGAACGCAAGUUGCGCCCGAAGCCAUUAGGCCGAGGGCACGUCUGCCUGGGCGUCA